Molecule: unclassified non-coding RNA, 330 nt
Filed under: soil metagenome
Description: partial contains 5.8S ribosomal RNA, internal transcribed spacer 2, and large subunit ribosomal RNA
Rfam family: 5.8S ribosomal RNA (bases 1-120)
Source: RNAcentral
GAUGAAGAACGCAGCGAAAUGCGAUAAGUAGUGUGAAUUGCAGAAUUCAGUGAAUCAUCGAAUCUUUGAACGCACAUUGCGCCCUUUGGUAUUCCAUGGGGCAUGCCUGUUCGAGCGUCAUUUGUACCCUCAAGCUUUGCUUGGUGUUGGGCGUCUUGUCGUAUUACGACUCGCCUUAAAUACAUUGGCAGCCGGCACUUUGGCCUAGGAGCGCAGCACAUUUUGCGAUCGUAGCCCGUUGUACUGGCGUCCAUCAAGAACAUUUACCACGUUUGACCUCGGAUCAGGUAGGGAUACCCGCUGAACUUAAGCAUAUCAAUAAGCGGAGGA